UUGACCUCGGAUCAGGUAGGAAUACCCGCUGAACUUAAGCAUAUCAAUAAGGGGAGGAAAG
RNAcentral lists this ribosomal RNA (61 nucleotides) under Fusarium asiaticum. Its description in RNAcentral is "partial 28S ribosomal RNA". It matches the Rfam family "Eukaryotic large subunit ribosomal RNA", at positions 1 to 60 of the family's 3401-position model. Lineage: Eukaryota; Fungi; Ascomycota; Sordariomycetes; Hypocreales; Nectriaceae. The record is from RNAcentral.